CAACAACAACAACAACAACAACCCCGUAUAAUCCCACUUAGUGGGGUCUGGGAAGGGUAGUAUGUACGCAGACCUUACCCCUACCCUGAACCCAGUAUAAUCCCACUUAGUGGGGUCUGGGGAGGGUAGUGUGUACACAGACCCUAUCCCUACCCUGGGGUAGAGAGGCUGUUUGCAAAUAAACCGCCGACAUCCUUCCCUCCAAGAACUUCCCACCUUGCUCUUCUUGGGGAGACUCGAACUCACAACCUCUCGGUUGGAAGUGGGGGUUGCUUACCAUCAGAGCAACCCCUCUUGUCCAUAAGGGAACCCUAACAUGUCAAAAAGUUAAAUCAGUGGUGAUAAAACUAGCUAGAGCAACCACACUAGCACUGGAAUGAGCCAUUUGGUCCUUCCAAAGUGGCAGUUAACCAUCAUUGCAAUAAAAACAAGCCACAAAGUAGUACAGGAAUGGAAGUUGCUAUUAUUAAUUAAUCCCUUUAUCAAAAACAAAGUACAGGGAUGGGUAUAGUAACCACUGUUAAUGUGACUGAUAAAAGAACCUCUUAAUGUGACCGAUUAAAAAAAAAACCAUAGUUGAUGUGCCAUAAAAGAAAAUAUCAGUAGUUAUGAAAAUCCUCAAAUUAUUCACCAUUUCAUUAGCCUAUAUCACAACAUAUUAAAUUGUGAAAAAUAUGUUAAACCAAAAGGAAGCUCAUUUAUGUAGUUCACGACAAGAAAUCUGUAGAAGUAGAGACAAAAGAGGAAGAACUUCAUCCCCCAGUAUUGUAAAAAGCUUAAAUCAUCAGAGACAAAUCUCUGGUGAAAGCAACCUAGAUGCACUCAUAAAAUGUAAAUCGUGGUUAUUGGUAAAGCUUUUUUUUUUUGUUUUUGUUUUGCCCAAUGCAAUCCUAGGAGGUUGUUCCUAGGGAAUUCUGGAGUUCCUAGGUUCUUCUUCUUUCCUCUUAUUUUCUGGCUUUCUGUCCCAAGACCUUAAAAUUUAGCCCUAAAUCGGACCUCUUUGAUGUCCAAAUCAAAUUGGAGAGAUCUUGUACGUGUUUAUUGCUGUGCUUUGUAUUGAGGAAACUUUUUGGAGAGAUCUUGUACGUGUUAUGGAGGAAACUUUUUGUGCACCAAUAUUUGUCCUAUAAAUUCUUGAUGAAGUGCAUUUCCUCGUUAGAAAUACUCAUUGAAGAAUAAAAGAAAUAGCAAAUGAUAGGUGGCUUCGCCUUGAUGUGUUAUUCAUAUGAAUGGAAUGAAUAAAGCAACAACUUUUUUCUCAACAUCAUGAUUUAUUAAGCACUUUUCUCCUAUAAUCUUAAAGUAAAUUUAAGUGCCGUGCAUAUUGAAUGGUUUUGUUCUCCCAUUGCUUAAGAUAGUGAAACUCAGCUGUUAGAGACCACUCUGCUAUACGUCAUAUACAACAAUACAACAAUAACAACCCAGUAUAAUAUCACUUAGUGGGGUCUGGGGAGGGUAGUGUGUACGCAGACCUACCCCUACCCUUGGGUAGAGAGACUGUUUCCAAAUAGACCCCCGGCAUCCUUCCCUCCAAGAACUUCCCACUUUGCUCUUGGGGAGACUCGAGCUCACAACCUCUCGGUUGGAAGUGGAGGUUGCUUACCAUCAGAGCAACCCCUCUUGUC
RNAcentral lists this long non-coding RNA (1625 nucleotides) under Nicotiana benthamiana. RNAcentral describes it as "long non-coding RNA (NBEN_LNC011421)". The record is from RNAcentral. Lineage: Eukaryota; Viridiplantae; Streptophyta; Magnoliopsida; Solanales; Solanaceae.